ACAACAUUCGGACCGUCGGUCUACCGAGCAAUAUCACUCGCUCAGUGGAAGGUCUUCCUUUCGUCAU
This 67-nucleotide microRNA precursor is filed under the name Bombyx mori (domestic silkworm). Its description in RNAcentral is "mir-2774 microRNA precursor family". It matches the Rfam family "mir-2774 microRNA precursor family". Lineage: Eukaryota; Metazoa; Arthropoda; Insecta; Lepidoptera; Bombycidae. The record is from Rfam by way of RNAcentral.